GUUCAAACCAAAAUCCUCAAAGAUUUGCCAGAUUUAAUUAGAGCUCGAACACCUACGAUUAGUCGUAGCAAAGCAUUUGCAAGUGAGGUCGCAAAGUAAUACAUAGGAAAAUAAUACGACGUAUCGCAGCAGGAAUUCGCUCGCACGCUUGCGCUAUUGCUUACACAGCAGAGUGCCCCACGCUGGUCAAACGCCUGCUAUCUUAGCUACACGCUGCUACGCAUCUCCGACAUUCAGCUCACGAGCAUGUGACCCUCAAUUCAGCUUCGUGCUCUCCUCGGCCCAAUAUAUAAUAUGUCUCUCUCUCGCGUUCGCAUCGACUCGCGUGAUACAUAUUAUGUCGCGAUAUAUAACGGGGAGGAGGAAAGGGAAAUCUCACACACCGGACUCUGCUCUGGCCGAUGUGUCGCAUAACACGUCACCGCGCUACAAAGUACGUUUGCAAGUGAAAUCGCAAAGUAAUACAUAAGAAAAUCUCGUUGUCUGCAAGAAGUGAUUUUCGUGAACGAAGUGCAUUUACAAGUGAAAUCGCAAAGUGAUACAAAUUUUAAUAUCAACUGUGUGUGUUGUGUGUGAGUGUGCAAAAAUUGCUAGAAACUUGGGAAAAUUACAGCUCUUGCGAGACAAGGUCAAUUGGAAGACCAAUAAACAGCGGAUAAAUAAGAAAUAAAUUUCUUCGCAAAUUUGACUCUUUGUUUUGCGAUUGGGAGGACCAAUUCCUUGCGAAACAAUAUCAAUUGGGAGACCAAUAAAAAGCGAAUAAAAAGGAAAUAAAUUUCUUUGUAAAUUUGACUUUUUGUUCUGCGAUUGGGAGGACCAUUUCCCAAUCUCUGAAAAAUUAGGCAAACCCCAGAGCGCCAGUUUCAAGUUGAACUCGAACACGAGUAGUCGUAGCAAAGCAGCAGCAAGUGAAGUGCAUUUUUUGAAAAAUUUUUAUAUCAACUGUGUGUGCUGUGUGUGAGUAUUUAAAUAUGAAUAGCAGCUUGAAAAAAUUAUGGUUCUUGUGGGACAACGUCAACGGGGAGAACAAAAGAAAGCGAAAUCUAUUUCUUCGCAAAAUUGAUGUAUUAUUCACCAAAUAGAAGCACCAACUUUCCAAUCUCCGAAAAAUUUUUCGGCCGAACGAAAUAGAUAAACUUCUCUUGGAGGCUACAAAAGUAGGCAACAGUCGAGGACUAAGGAUUAUUCAAUUUGUGGUUGGCACCGGCUAUAAAGAUAAGCCCGAGGUAGAUAAGAACGGCAAGCCGAUAUUUCGUCGGAAGACACUACUGCAUUGUGCAGAUGAAAGCUAUUCCCCUUUCAAAAGCAACGUGAUCGAUCUUCUGUUUAAAAUGAACAGAAGAUUCAAUUUGAAUUACGCAGAUAAGUUCGGAAUGGCUCAUUUUCAUUUGGCUUGCAAGCACGGCUGCUACUUUGAAGCCAAAAUGUUCAUAAGAUUCGGACAUGAUCCCAAUCUUCGCGUGCAAAAAACCGGCUUCAUUUGGCAGAACGCUACGACUUCUACGAGUUGAUUAAAUUGUUGUUGAGAGAUUGUCAUCGCUGCACGAUAUUUUUAAGAAACACUGCGUCGUUGAUUGUCAUCAUAAAUCGUGGAAUAUAUUUUUUGAAACAAUCGACAAAAGAAAGAAACUGAUCCAGAUUAAUGCUCGUGAAAACUGCGGUAACACACCCUUGCUUUUGACAUUGAAAUUAGUGUCAUUGAGAUCGUCAAUAAAGUGUGUAGCAUUUCUGAUGAUAAGAAGGAUGAUCCGAAAUCAGCCAUAGUAGGAUUGACAGCACUGCACAUUACUUGCCAGAAAUCAUGUCACUGAGCUGUCCACUUCGUUUUCCCUCCGGCAAAUGAAGAAAUCAGCGAAAAUAGUGAAGUUCUACACCGAAAAAAAUUUUAUAAAUGCUGACGACGGUGACGGGAAUCAAAAGGAAAGAACGACUUUGUUCCAGACUGCAUCGUCGGUGACGGGAGUCAUGAGAAAGCAGCAAUAUUUUUGAAAACUGCAUUGACGGCGAUGAUCAGCAAAAGAGAAAAGCAACGUCGUUGAGGACUGCAUUGCCGAUACCCUUGACGCAGAUCUCCAAAAUCCUGCAAUCGGUGUCGGCAGGAGGAAGGCAGACAGUAAAUCAUCGGUCAGACGAAUGAAGAGAACUUAC
Trichogramma pretiosum is the source of this 2148-nucleotide long non-coding RNA. RefSeq lists it as uncharacterized. The transcript is spliced from 3 exons. The record is from RefSeq and is a predicted model, not a curated record. Lineage: Eukaryota; Metazoa; Arthropoda; Insecta; Hymenoptera; Trichogrammatidae.